GUUCUCUUAGCUAUGUUGAGACGCGGCAUACGGCUCAUUUAACACGUGGCUAACCUACCCUCAGGACGGGGACAAACCCGGGAAACUGGGGCUAAUAUCCGAUAGGUGAGGAUGCCUGGAAUGGUUUCUCACUCAAAGGGCUUUAGGAACAUGCUUCUAAAGUCGCCUGGGGAUGGGGCCGCGACCGAUCAGGUUGUUGGUGAGGUAAUGGCUCACCAAGCCUAUAACCGGUACGGGCCGUGAGAGCGGUAGCCCGGAGAUGGGUACUGAGACAAGGACCCCGGCCCUACGGGGCGCAGCAGUCGCGAAAACUCCGCAAUGCACGAAAGUGUGACGGGGCUACCCCGAGUGCCAUCCGCUGAGGUUGGCUUUUCCUUGGUAUAACUAGCCAGGGGAAUAAGGAGAGGGCAAGACUGGUGUCAGCCGCCGCGGUAAUACCAGCUCUCCGAGUGGUAGGGAUGAUUAUUGGGCUUAAAGCGUCCGUAGCCGGCUUAGCAAGUCUCCUGUUAAAUUCAGCGACCUAAUCGUUGAGCCGCGGGAGAUACUACUAGGCUAGGAGGCGGGAGAGGUCGACGGUACUUCUGGGGUAGGGGUGAAAUCCUAUAAUCCCGGGAGGACCACCAGUGGCGAAGGCUGUCGACUAGAACGCGCUCGACGGUGAGGGACGAAAGCUGGGGGAGCGAACCGGAUUAGAUACCCGGGUAGUCCCAGCCGUAAACGAUGCGGGCUAGGUGUUGGGGUGGCUACGUGCCACUUCAGUGCCGCAGGGAAGCCAUUAAGCCCGCCGCCUGGGGAGUACGGCCGCAAGGCUGAAACUUAAAGGAAUUGGCGGGGGAGCACCACAAGGCGUGAAGCUUGCGGUUCAAUUGGAUUCAACGCCGGG
This 883-nucleotide ribosomal RNA is filed under the name uncultured archaeon. RNAcentral's name for it is "bacterial SSU rRNA". It matches the Rfam family "Archaeal small subunit ribosomal RNA", at positions 53 to 922 of the family's 1478-position model. The record is from RNAcentral.